CACGUAGGCGGAUUUUUAAGUCAGGGGUGAAAUCCCGGGGCUCAACCCCGGAACUGCCUUUGAUACUGGAAGUCUUGAGUAUGGUAGAGGUGAGUGGAAUUCCGAGUGUAGAGGUGAAAUUCGUAGAUAUUCGGAGGAACACCAGUGGCGAAGGCGGCUUACUGGUCCAUUACUGACGCUGAGGUGCGAAAGCGUGGGGAGCAAACA
This 207-nucleotide ribosomal RNA is filed under the name uncultured bacterium. RNAcentral describes it as "partial 16S ribosomal RNA". It matches the Rfam family "Bacterial small subunit ribosomal RNA", at positions 568 to 774 of the family's 1533-position model. The record is from RNAcentral.